GGCGAGAGACGAUAGCGAACAAGUACCGUGAGGGAAAGAUGAAAAGACUUUGAAAAGAGAGUUAAACAGUACGUGAAAUUGUUGAAAGGGAAACGAUUGAAGUCAGUCAUACUAACGGGAAAUCAACCUCUUGAGUUUGGUCUCGUGGGUUUCGAAAAGUUUUAAAAGCCUUCGGAUUUUCGAGAUUGGGCUCUUCUGGUGUACUUUCUCGUACGGUUAGUCAACAUCGGUUUUGAAUGUCAUAAAAUGA
Molecule: ribosomal RNA, 250 nt
Filed under: Glomus sp. Al1
Lineage: Eukaryota; Fungi; Glomeromycota; Glomeromycetes; Glomerales; Glomeraceae
Description: partial large subunit ribosomal RNA
Rfam family: Eukaryotic large subunit ribosomal RNA
Source: RNAcentral